RNAcentral lists this ribosomal RNA (253 nucleotides) under uncultured bacterium. RNAcentral describes it as "partial 16S ribosomal RNA". It matches the Rfam family "Bacterial small subunit ribosomal RNA", at positions 524 to 776 of the family's 1533-position model. The record is from RNAcentral.
UACGGGGGGGGCAAGCGUUGUUCGGAAUUACUGGGCGUAAAGGGUUUGUAGGUGGCUUGUUAAGUCAGACGUGAAAUCCCUCAGCUUAACUGGGGAACUGCGUCUGAUACUGGCGAGCUUGAGUGCAGGAGAGGAACGCGGAAUUCCAGGUGUAGCGGUGAAAUGCGUAGAUAUCGGGAGGAACACCAGCGGCGAAGGCGGCGAUCUGGGGCGAUACUGACGCUGAGGUGCGAAAGCGUGGGGAGCAAACAGG